RNAcentral lists this long non-coding RNA (3877 nucleotides) under Homo sapiens (human). Its description in RNAcentral is "HSALNT0111509". Lineage: Eukaryota; Metazoa; Chordata; Mammalia; Primates; Hominidae. The record is from RNAcentral.
GGGCUUCCAAGGAAUGCUGAGAAGUGGACUAGACUAAAGCCAAGAUACAGAGUCCGGUCCAGGGUCAGGACAAAUCAUCAUGCCAGCAGCUGCUCAUCAAUAUGCCAGCACGCUGCCAGCCUGGGAUAAAAUGACCACCAUCACUCCCCACAACACUAUGAAGAAACUGAGGCUGGGAAAAAUGAAAUGAUGGACAUUUGACUAUUCCCUGACUACACGGACGUCUACAGCAUGACAGCAACAAGACCCCAGGCUUCCAGAGCCUCAGCAUGGCCUUGCUUCAGUACCUCCUAUACCUUCUCCUGUCCACGUGUAGAGACAUAAUAUUUCCUAUUUCUAUUUUAAAAGAGAGGAGGUCGGAUGAGCCUUCCCUCCUUCUCACCUACCCUGACCUGCCCCCAUUGCUAUGGCUUAACAUACUAGUGACCACAGAAAAGAGCACCCUAUGGGGAAUGGGGAAUGUAGGGGUCUUUUUCUCCUCAAAUCUUACGUUUGUGGGGAUUUUGUUCUUCCAAUUAGUUAGGCAACCCCUGAGAAGGAUCACCUGAAGCUUGGCCUCUGAAAAUUAAGAUAAAAGAUAGUUCCUUUCCAUGGGGAGAAAUGGGAUGUGGGGAGAAUCCUGCAGAUAACUGGUCCAUGACUAACCCUGGUUGAUCAAGAGCCAUUUGGGCCAAUUGGGCAGCUAUCUGGAAGUGUGAUAACCCCUAUCCCGGAACUAGUUGUGAUGGAUUUCAGAGAAGCAAAGCAGCAUCUCUUUGCCCUCAGGCAAAUGGCUUCCUCUACCUUCUCAUCCUAAGACCAUCCUACCUCCUUCCUCUCUCCCUUCUUCCUGGCUUAGAUGAUGGGUAAAGGGUGUGUAUUCUUCAAAUGAUAAACUCCUUAUGAGAUUGGCAGUAUGUUACAUACAGAAUAUACAGAAACUGUCAUUGCCUGGUCCUGGUUAUUUAAAGGAAUCAGGAAAACAAAUACAAAAACAAAAUCAAGAAUAUCUUUUUGUUGGCUGUGUUUCCACAGGCCAUAUUUUUGAACAUGAGGUAGAAGGCUGUAGAUACAUAAAAGAGAAGAAAAUGGUUAGAGUAGACAGGCAAGUUGACUGCUAGCCAUAAAAAAAUGUAAGAUUGGGAGGAUUUUUUUUUCUCUCCCAGUAAGAAAAAUAUAUAUUGUUGCUCUAGGGAGUUUGAUCUGUUUUUCCUUAGAAUUCCACAACAUUUCUCUCAAUUCCCCUUUCUCCUUCCCACCUGUCUUCCUACCUCUUCCCCACCUACCCUCAAACAAUAAGACUUAAGGCCAAGAUAUUGAACUUGAGAUAUGAAGUCUAGGACAGGAGCCAAAACCCCUACACUGGCAGAUUAGAGCAGGAUAUCAGUUAGUGCUGGUGGAGAUGCUGUGUCUUAUCUCUCUUGGCUCUGACUCCAGCACAGUUCCUGCCUGGAACUUGAAAGGUGCUCCAUAUAAACAUAUAGAAUAAAUAAAUGGCAUAUAUAAUGUAAGAACAAGCAGAAGACCUAAAGAAUACCAACUCAAAAUCUGGAUUCCAGACUUCAGGGUCAGAAUCAGGAAACCAAGAAGUACAAUGAGAAGAGAGUACUGAGCUAGACUCAGAAUACAUAGAUGGCCACAAGUCAGAAUUAAGAAUGGUGGAAAACAUGCCAUUUUAACAUGCUAGCCAGGGAGAAACACAAAAUAGGUUUCUCCUAUUAUAUGACAAUUGUACUUAUAUGACAAGUGACAACAAACUGGUUUAGCAUCAGUAAAGAAUUAAGAGUUUUCAGAGAAGUAAACUCAAGAUGAACCUAUGGCUACUCCAAAACCAUGCAAAAUUAAACUACAUUAUUACAAAUAUAACAUCUAGAAUUGUGCUGCCCAAUGUGAUCACCGCUGGCCAUACGCAGCUAUUUAAAUUUAAAAUAAUUAAAGUAAAAUUAGAAGUUCAGUUCUUCAUUCUCAUCAGCCGUAUGUCAAAUGCCCAAUAACCACAGGUGGUUAUGAUUGGACAGCACAGAUACAGAACAUUUUCCUAAUCACCGAAAGUUCUAUUAGACAGCACUGGCGUAAUGAGCAGUAACAGUGACCCUCUGCUCUGGUGUAUUCAGUCAGCCCUGCACAUCACUCUAAGUGAAGCAGGGACCAAAAAAAUCAGAAGAGGGUAACCACAAAGCUAAAAUUCAUCAUUUGUGAAAUAGUUCAAAAGACUAGAGAUAUUAAGCCUGGAGCAGAGGAAAACUCAGUAGGGGAUGUGAAGAUUAUCUUCAAAUAUUGGAGGACUAGCAUGUGGAUAAGGAAAUGAUAUUGUUACAAGUGACAUAAGGGAUAGAAUUAAACUCAUGGAUCAGACUUAGAAGGAAAAAGAUUGCUAUCUCAGCAGAAAGAAGAACUCCUUCUCCAUCAGAGCUGUCCAAAGUCAGGGUAGACUGCCUCAUAAAGGAGUGACCCGCCAUCCUGGGGAUCUCAGGCAAAGGCUGAGCAUAGGCCUGACAAACAGGUAGGACAAAACAGACACAGACAGGGUGCAGUGGUUCACGCCUGUAAUCCCAGUGCUUUGGGAGGCUGGGGCAGGAGGAUCAUUGAGCCCAGGAGUUAGAGGCUGCAGAGAGCUAUGAUUGUGCCACUGCACUCCAGCCUGGGCAACAGACCAAAACCCUGUUUCAAAAAAAUAAAGUAAAAAGAAAUAAAAAACAACUUUUGGAAAGAAGGAAAUUAUUUAUUUAUCAAAUAUGUCAGGCAGGAGGGGAGACUUCAAACGUGAAUGGUUAGAAUAAUCUUUGAAACCCUUUCAAACUCUGAGAACUUCUGACGCCUCUGGUUGAGAUUCAACCACUGGCUGAGAAAUUCUGGAGGGUGAAGUAGGCAAAGGGUCUGGACUCUUGAACAAGAUCAGGUGGAAACUCAAGAAUAUGACAGGUGAGAGAGAGCUCCAGAGCAAAAGAGGAGAAGAAAACAGUGAUCAAUUAAGUGGAAGUAAGUGGAGCAGAGGGACAGAAAAGGAGAUAUAAGAGGAGGGGGACAUCUUGAGAAAGAGAAAGACUAAAAGACUUGGAGUGUGAAGGAAGAAUGGAACAAGUGUGGGAGGUUUGUGACAAAAGGCACAAAUAGAAGCUUCGAUUUUGACUCUUCCCUGACUCAGACAGCUCUUCAUGAGACAGUUUCUUAAAUAAGAGUAGAAAAAAUAUGAUGGGCUAUGUAGCCAGAGAGCUUGAUAAAGGGAGACAAAAACAGAUGAAUAAAAUAAACACAACACAUUACAAAGCUUUUGAAAUACCAAAGUGGAAAAUAUUUGAACACCGCCACCCACAGAGACAAAAGGAUUUCAUCUCCUACUGCCCACAUACCCUCCAGACGUCCAAUAGUCUAAUAAAAAAUAAUAUAUUAGAAAUUUUUUAAAAGAUCUUUUUUUUUUUUUUUUUUUAACAGACAAGGUCUCACUAUGUUACCCAGGCUGGCUGCUCGAACUCCUGUGCUCAAGCAAUCCUCCUGCCAAGGCCUCCCAAAGUACUGGGAUUACAGGUGUGCCACUGCAGCGGCCAUAUUGGGAACUAUUUUGAAAUGAGGAUUGUAUUGGUUUCCUAUUACUGCUAUAACAAAUCCCCACAAUGUACUGGCUUAAAAUAGCACAAAUUGAUUCUCUUACAGAUUUGAAGGUCAGCAGUCUGAAGUCAGUCUUACCGGGCUAAAAUUAAGAUGUUAGCAGGGCUGGAGGCUCCAAGGGAGAAUCUGUUCCUUGUCUCUUCCAAUUUCUAUUUAUCAUAUAAUGAAAUAUAUUUAAUUAUUUUAAUAAAAAAUAGAUCCUGGCCAGCACAGUGGCUCGUGACUGUAAUCCCAGAACCUUGGGAGCCCACGGUGGGUGGUGGAUCAUUUGAGGCCAGGAAUUCCAGACCAG